RNAcentral lists this ribosomal RNA (253 nucleotides) under uncultured bacterium. RNAcentral describes it as "partial 16S ribosomal RNA". It matches the Rfam family "Bacterial small subunit ribosomal RNA", at positions 524 to 776 of the family's 1533-position model. The record is from RNAcentral.
UACAGAGGGGGCAAGCGUUGUUCGGAAUUACUGGGCGUAAAGGGCGCGUAGGCGGCCUUCUAAGUCGAACGUGAAAUCCCCGGGCUCAACCCGGGAACUGCGUCCGAUACUGGAAGGCUUGAAUCCGGGAGAGGGAUGCGGAAUUCCAGGUGUAGCGGUGAAAUGCGUAGAUAUCUGGAGGAACACCGGUGGCGAAGGCGGGAUCCUGGGCCAGUACUGACGCUGAGGAGCGAAAGCGUGGGGAGCAAACAGG